This 999-nucleotide ribosomal RNA is filed under the name uncultured organism. Its description in RNAcentral is "bacterial SSU rRNA". It matches the Rfam family "Bacterial small subunit ribosomal RNA", at positions 13 to 1020 of the family's 1533-position model. The record is from RNAcentral.
UUGAUCCUGGCUCAGGAUGAACGCUGGCGGCGUGCCUAAUACAUGCAAGUCGAACGGGAGCCCUUGAUUUCGAUUGAGGGUGAGAGUGGCGCACGGGUGCGUAACACGUAGCUGACCUGCCCUUUGCAGGGGGAUAACUUGCCGAAAGGUGAGCUAAUACCGCGUAGGCUCGUCGGGAUUAGAAGCCCAAUGAGUAAAGAGAUGGCAUCGGCAAAGGAGGGGGCUGCGGCCCAUCAGCUAGUUGGUGAGGUAACGGCUCACCAAGGCGACGACGGGUAGGGGGCCUGAGAGGGUGACCCCCCACACUGGCACUGAGACACGGGCCAGACUCCUACGGGAGGCAGCAGUAAGGAAUAUUGCCCAAUGGGCGCCAGCCUGAGGCAGCAACGCCGCGUGGAGGAUGACGGUCUUCGGAUUGUAAACUCCUUUUCGGUGGGAAGAGGACGGACGGUACCACCGGAAGAAGUCUCGGCUAACUACGCGCCAGCAGCCGCGGUAAAACGUAGGAGGCGAGCGUUAUCCGGAUUUACUGGGCGUAAAGCGCGCGCAGGUGGUGGCUGAAGUGGUGCGUGAAAGCUCCCGGCUCAACUGGGAGAGGCCGUACCAAACUCGGUCACUGGAGACAGAUAGAGGCUGACGGAAUUCCGGGUGGAGUGGUGAAAUGCGUAGAGAUCCGGAGGAACACCAGUGGCGAAGGCGGUCAGCUGGGUCUGAUCUGACACUGAGGUGCGAAAGCGUGGGGAGCGAACGGGAUUAGAAACCCCGGUAGUCCACGCCGUAAACGAUGCAGACUAGAUGUUGGAUAUCGAAAGGUAUUCAGUGCCGCAGCCAACGCGAUAAGUCUGCCGCCUGGGGAGUACGGUCGCAAGGCUAAAACUCAAAGGAAUUGACGGGGGCCCGUACAAGCAGCGGAGCGUGUGGUUUAAUUCGAGGCUACGCGAAGAACCUUACCUGGACUUGACAUGCUGGUAGUAGGGAACCGAAAGGGGACCGACUUCG